CGAGAGACGAUGGAAACCUGGUUUUGACAAGUCUUUGGGGUGAUUCUUAUGCAAGUUAAAAACUGGGCCCAGUGCUAUCAGUGAACUAUGGGAGGACACAUUGGAUAUCCUCUUCUGGCUACAUGCUCAUCACUGUGCUGGUCCACACAAUUUACAGAUUCUAAGGCAAAGUGAAAAUUUCCAACCCAUGUAAAAAAGUAAAAGAAGAAUAAAAC
This 215-nucleotide long non-coding RNA is filed under the name Fukomys damarensis (Damara mole-rat). RNAcentral describes it as "lncRNA (ENSFDAG00000030418.1)". The record is from RNAcentral. Lineage: Eukaryota; Metazoa; Chordata; Mammalia; Rodentia; Bathyergidae.